This 622-nucleotide ribosomal RNA is filed under the name uncultured Russulaceae. RNAcentral's name for it is "LSU rRNA". It matches the Rfam family "Eukaryotic large subunit ribosomal RNA", at positions 47 to 649 of the family's 3401-position model. The record is from RNAcentral. Lineage: Eukaryota; Fungi; Basidiomycota; Agaricomycetes; Russulales; Russulaceae.
UAAGCNGAGGAAAAGAAACUAACAAGGAUUCCCCUAGUAACUGCGAGUGAAGCGGGAAAAGCUCAAAUUUAAAAUCUGGUGGCCUCUGGUCAUCCGAGUUGUAAUUUAGAGAAGCGUCUUCCGCGCUGGACCAUGCACAAGUCUCCUGGAAUGGAGCGUCAUAGAGGGUGAGAAUCCCGUCUUUGGCAUGGAUGCACCAGGGCUUCUGUGAUGCGCUCUCAAAGAGUCGAGUUGUUUGGGAAUGCAGCUCAAAAUGGGUGGUGAACUCCAUCUAAAGCUAAAUAUUGGCGAGAGACCGAUAGCGAACAAGUACCGUGAGGGAAAGAUGAAAAGCACUUUGGAAAGAGAGUGAAACAGUACGUGAAAUUGUUGAAAGGGAAACGCUUGAAGUCAGUCGCGUCAUCCAGGGAUCAACCUUGCUUUUGCUUGGUGCACUUCCUGGUUUGAUGGGUCAGCAUCAAUUUUGACCGCUGGAAAAAGGCUAAGGGAAUGUGGCAUCUUUGGAUGUGUUAUAGCCCUUGGUCGCAUACAGUGGUUGGGAUUGAGGAACUCAGCACGCCGCAAGGUCGGGUUUUUAACCACGUACGUGCUUAGGAUGCUGGCAAUAUGGCUUUAAUCGACC